GGGGACACAGGAGUGAAACAGAGCCGGCAGCACUUUGUGGACACCUUUCUGAGAGCACAAGAGCUGUCCAUCACCCAGAUUAAGAAAUCAGGCUGAAGAGGCAGAAAACUGGCAUGGCUCAGCAAGGACUGCUUGUCAGACUGAGGGACAAAAAGGAAAGUAUAGUCAUUAGAAGCAGAGAUGAGAGGCCUUGAAGAAUGUAGGGGUGUUGUCCAGAUGUGCAGGGAUGUGAUCAGGAAAGCCGAGGUGCAGGCGGAAUUAAACUUGGUGAGGGAGGUGAAAAACAACUAGAAGGGUUUCUUAAGAUAUACUGGCCAGAAGAAACAGGCAAAGGACCCCUUCAAUAAAAUGAAAAAGAGAGCUGGCCUCUCUGGACAUGGAAAAGACUGGGGUACUUAAUGAGUUCUUUGCCUUGUUUUUCUUUGCUAGUCAGGUUCCCAUGCCUCUCGUGUCCCUGAACCUCUAAGCAGGGGUUGGAAGAGCAAAAUCGCUCCCAGUGUAAGAGCAGAGCAAGUCUGAGACACUUCAUGAAGCUGAAUGUGUACAAUUUUAUGGGGCCUGAUGAUACGCAUCACAGGGUUCUGAGGGGAUUGGCUGAUGUGGUCGCCAAGCUGCUCUCCCCCAUAUUUGAAAAAUUGUGGCUGUCAGGUGAAGGCAAAAAGAAAAAGAACAUAAUCACUUCAAUUUUUAAGAAAGGCAGAAAGGAAGACCUGGGGAACUACAACCUGGUGAGCCUCACAUCUAUGCCUGGGAAGGUCAUGGAGCAGAUACUCCUGGAAGAUAUGUUAAGGCACAUGCAAGAAGAGGAGGUGAUCCAAAAACUGCCAGAACAGCUCCACCAAGGGAAGGUCGUGCCUAACCAAUCUGGAGGCCUUCUAUGUUGAAGUGACAGCAUCAAUGGCAAAGGAAGGGCAACUUAUGUCAUCUUAUUGUCUUAGGGAAACUUAUCUCUAACAUUGCAGAGAGAUCUAUUUGAAGGCUUGACUAUUAGAUGGAUAAAGAAUUGGUUGGAUAGCUGUAGCCAGAGGGUUGUUGUAAAUGGCUAUAUGUCCAGGUUGAAGCCAGCAAUGUGCAGUGUCCCCCAGGAGUCCAUCUUGGGACUGGUGCUCUUCAACAUCUUUAUCAACAACAUACAGAGUGGGAUUGAGUGUACCCUCAGCACAUUUGCAGAUGACACCAAGCUGAGUAAUGCAGUUGACACAAAAGAAAGGAUGCUACCCAAAGAGAUAUGUACAGGCUCAAAAAGUGGCACACAAGAACCUAACAAGGUUUGACAAGGCAAAGUGCAAGGUGCUGCACUUAGGUUGAGGUAAUCCCAGAUAUAUAUAUGGAUCUGGAGAAGAACUCACUGAGAGCAGCCUCGUGGAGAAGGGCUGUGGAGUCCUGAUGGACGAAAAGCUGAACUUGAAUCAGCAGUGCGUACUUGUAGCCCAGAAGGCCAACAGUAUCCUGGACUACAUCAAAAGAGUAGUAGCCAGCAGGGAAAGGCAAAUCAUUUUCCCCCUCUACUCUGCCCUAAUGAGACCUCAUCUGGAGACCUGUGUUCAAGCCUGUGGCCCCCAGUACAGGAAGGAUGCAGUGCAGUUGGUGCCAGUCCAGGAGGGCUAUGAACAUGAUCAAAUGGCUGGAGUACCUCUCCUGUGAAGAAAGGCUGAGGGAGUUGGGGUUGUUCAGCCUGGAGAAGAAAAGGCUCCAGGAAGACAUCACUGUGGCCUUCCAGAACUUGAAGGGAGCUUAUACACACAAAGAGGAGUGACUUUUUACAUGGUUUGAUAGUGAUAGGACAAAUGGAAAUGACUUUAAAUUAAAAGAGGGGAAAUUUAGGUUAGACGUUAGUGAAAAAUUAUUUACUCAGAGUGUGGUGAUGUGCUGGAACAGGUCACCUAGAGAAGCUGCUGAUGCUCCAUCCCUGGAGGUGCCCAAAGCCAAGUUGUACAGAGCCCCGUGCAGGCUGAUGUGAUGCUGCUGAGUAAAACAAGGAUCCAGAGUCUUGCAUAAUAAAAUGAAUGCUGUUCUGCUGCCUGUCUGCCCAGGACAGAAGGUUUCCUUGUCUAGCAGAAAAAACUGAAAGGCUGCCUAACACUGCCACCUUGGGAUGCCUACACACCAUCCAAAUUCUUAAACUUUGCUAAACCAGUCUUUCAGUUCACAUUUUUCUAAGUACAUUUUAGAAAGAACACAGAGAAUCAUGUAUAUGUACAAUACUCUAAGAGCUAUCAAUUGCCUUUCAAACAAAUUAUUUUCAGGACUAUAAAGUCUUUAAAACUUUUUAAAACUUUAAAACUUUUCUCUCAAAAACACGGUAUGUUUUAGGCUCCCCAAAUAAGCUACUGGACUUGGAACUUGACUUCAAAGACAUCAACUACAAUUGUGUUUUAUCAGUUCAAGUAAGACUUAAAUUUGAAGAACUGAAACAACCCACUUUAGCCAAGUAAAUCCCUUUUGUCAAACUCAGCUCUACCACAGUUAUUUCAGAUAGGAGAUUUUUGCAGAUAGCCCUGGAAGAGGAGGACACAGGACCAGUCAUUUGAGUGACAAGAGCUUGUUGUUCACAAACUACAGCAUCAGCUUCCUUAUGUCAGGGAGUUAAGAAACUGACUACAUUUGCUGUUUGCAAUUGUUUAACACUGGCCUGGGAGUCACUAAGGGCUUGUAACUGUGGGCAAUUUGCAGACUGUGGCUAAUACAAGCACUUAGAGCUGUUAAUUCCAGCCCACCUUCACAUCUUGAGCUGCUGUCAACAAUACCCUGAGGUGAGGCAGUCUUCCUGCCAGCCAGCAGGGCCUAGCUGGGCUGAGAGGACUCUCCUCCAUCCUCCUACUGCUGCCCUGCACCAGGCCUAAUGAGAUCCCAGCAGCAGGGCAUCUUUGGUGAGGCACAUAGUGCAGUACCAGGGGCACAGCAGAACUGCUCCACUGAAGCUAAACCAGUGUGGGUUUCAGCAGUUCAAGACUGAAUGCUUAGUAGACCAGGGAACAUAGGCUUCAUGAGAUGGGAUAGAAAUGGCUGUCAGGUGACACUGACUGCUUCUGAGGGAGCUUGUGCUGGAGAUAAGGGUAGUUUUACACUGUCAUGAAGGAAGACAAAAUGGCGCUGAAAUGGUGCUGGUGCUGAAAAAGCUGUUAUUCAGGAACAUGCUGCCUACUGACAUCGUAUACAGUAGGAAACCCUCUGUACAGAUGAAGCCUUCAACUGCCAUCAAUAAAAACUGGCUUCAAUAAAAAAUGUGCAGCCUCA
This is a long non-coding RNA of Gallus gallus (chicken), 3237 nucleotides long. RefSeq lists it as uncharacterized. Lineage: Eukaryota; Metazoa; Chordata; Aves; Galliformes; Phasianidae. The transcript has 2 exons. The record is from RefSeq and is a predicted model, not a curated record.